RNAcentral lists this long non-coding RNA (580 nucleotides) under Ananas comosus (pineapple). Its description in RNAcentral is "long non-coding RNA (ACOM_LNC007046)". The record is from RNAcentral. Lineage: Eukaryota; Viridiplantae; Streptophyta; Magnoliopsida; Poales; Bromeliaceae.
UAGCUAGUUUUCCAAGUAAAUUUUUAAAAUUGAGAGAUCUAUUUCAAAAUAGCUUGUCGAUGAUGCGGCAGUGUUUUAUAUACCAGUGGUAGCACAUCAUCUAUGUUUCAAUCUAUCAAAUUUCUCCCUUUGAGAGAAAGUAUAGAUUUUUUUUUUAUUUUAGAAGAAAUUAUGAUGAAACUAGUGUAGUGACCUGCACGAUUGUGAGGACUGAAAAUUUGACAGUGUAGCUAAAUUCUUUGUUGACGAUAUUUUGUGUAUAAUUUAAUUACAUAAGCACUCGUCAAGUUUUAGGAGAAAACGAGCUAAGAUGGAAAAGUUACACGAUCAUUACUAAUCACUUAAAGUGAAUAGUAACUACGAUUUUUCGGAGAGGCCGAUCAGUGGAGAUGGCUUCUGGUGCGUAUUGGACUCCGUUCAUAGUGAUCCAAUAGCUCGUUUUCAAUGAUUUGAUUAUCUUGGACCCAAUGGCACUGACGGAUUUGGGUUCUGAUACACGAUUUUCGAGAAAAUGGGAUUUUAUCGCAAAAGGAGGUUUUUGCAUAUUGGAGAAAGAAUGGGUUUCGUCAGGAAUAUGUGG